Non-coding RNA from Paramisgurnus dabryanus, 1361 nucleotides. NCBI's taxonomy places the organism in Eukaryota, Metazoa, Chordata, Actinopteri, Cypriniformes, Cobitidae. The record is from RefSeq and is a predicted model, not a curated record.
ACUAACUUAUUAUUGUGUAGUUUCAUAAAAGCCUUACUCUUUUCAGUCACAUAACUUUUGUUCAUCUGCUAAUAAUAGGACUAUCCAUACACAAAGAUGUAUUGUGGAUUUAAGUAAUAUCUGCGAAUAUUUAUGUGAAAAUGUAUUAGUGUUCUGCUGACAUGAGAUCUGAAAAUGUGUUCUAGGACCUGAUAUGGAUUAAUCCAAUGAUCAACGUUUUCCUUUGUAUCCCUGUUUUGUAUACGCUGCCAUUACAUGAUGGUCAUAUGUCCCGGAUGAUAGGGAGAAGUCACGUGGUUCAAUUAUUAUUAUUUUUUUACGUGGUUCAAUUAUCUGUUAAUAAAUUUUUUUUACCAUGCAUUUAGCAUCAGGCAAAGCCUGCAAUCAAUCUAUUAAGACAGAAACAAUAUCUUACUUAUUAUUAUGUUGUUAUUAUGACAAUAUCAUGUGAUCAUCUGAGUUAGAACAAAAUCUAUUCAUUUUCAGGUAUAACUGUGCAAGUGCCCUGAAUCAUUCUGUUGAAAUGUUAUGUGUUUAAGAUUCUUUAUGACAUCAAGAUGUGGUUUGGGAAGGACCUUCAUCUAAAUCUGAAGACAGGACAUACUGGCUCAAAAAGGUGUUUCUGAUAUGGAGAAAAACCCUGCACUGCUCAUUUUAUUUCUUCAUCUUGAGAAUACAGCAAGUUUACCUUUUGUCUGGAAAAUGAUUCAGCAAAGCUAACACCAACAACAAUUUUUCAAUGCACUUUAAACCACCUUGAUGUGAGGAGCCAGCAUCAGAAUGGAUGGUGUCAAUAUCCUGAAAGUGGAGGUAACAGAGGUGGAUCUCGAGACUUGGCCAUGUUCUAGAUUAUAACUGGAUUAUCACAAGUGCUGUCGCCCCUGCUGUAUAUGACGCCCCCACCACCUACACCAGGUGUAGGAAAUGUCGGUCCUGGAGUGCCGUUGUCCUGCAGAGUUUUGCUCCAGCUCUAAACAAACACACCUGAACAACUAGAUCUGAAGAGUCACCAGAAAACUACAGGUAGGCGAGGUUUUAUCAGGGUUGGAAAUGAAAUCUGCAGGAUUUCGGCACUCCAGGACCGACGUUGCCUACUACUGACCUACACCUUCAUCCUGCCACCACCACCCAUACUACCUACAAAAAACUGUAUUGUAAUUAUGCUUUUCACUGUAUUGUAUGAUGUGGUUUUCUCAUUUAGGGUAACUACACUAUGGCAACAAUUGGAUACAUUGAUUGCUGACUGAUUUUGUUAUUUUUUCUUUACUUUUUGUUUAAAAUCUAAUCAUUUUUUUGUUAUUUUUGUUAAUAUUGUUACAAAUAUACAGUUAAAACUGCACAAUAAAUUUUCUGCUUUUAAA